Molecule: ribosomal RNA, 2492 nt
Filed under: Campylobacter sputorum subsp. bovis
Lineage: Bacteria; Pseudomonadati; Campylobacterota; Epsilonproteobacteria; Campylobacterales; Campylobacteraceae
Description: partial 23S ribosomal RNA
Rfam family: Bacterial large subunit ribosomal RNA
Source: RNAcentral
AGGUAAGCUACUAAGAGCAAAUGGUGGAUGCCUUGGCUGGUAGAGGCGAUGAAGGACGUACUAGACUGCGAUAAGACACGGGGAGCUGUCAAGAAGCUUUGAUCCGUGUAUUUCCGAAUGGGGCAACCCAGUGUAUAGUAAUAUACAUUAUACGGGUUACAGAGAAUAGAUUAAAUACCAAAUUUUAUUAUUAAAUUUAUUAUGAUUAACUUUUAAAUUAUUUCUUAGUCUAUAAAUCAUAGUUUAGAAAUAACUAUAAAAGAGUAAUAAAUAGAAUAGAUAAAAAUAUUUUUUACUUCAUAAAGAUUAAUUAUAAUAAACUAAAAACUAAAAUUUCUGUAUAUAGUUAUCUGUUGUCUGUAAUCCGUAGGCGAACGUGGGGAAUUGAAACAUCUUAGUACCCACAGGAAAAGAAAUCAAAAGAGAUUACGCUAGUAGCGGCGAGCGAACGCGUAAGAGGGCAAACCACUAGUUUACUAGUGGGGUUGUAGGACUGCAUAAAAGACUAAAACAUGAUAGUAAAACAAUCUGGAAAGAUUGAGCAUAGAGGGUGAUACUCCCGUAUACGAAAUCAUCUUUUUACUUAGCAGUAUCCUGAGUAGGGCGAGGCACGUGAAACCUUGUCUGAAUCUGGGAAGACCACUUUCCAACCCUAAAUACUACUACUAGACCGAUAGUGCACAAGUACCGUGAGGGAAAGGUGAAAAGAACUGAGGUGAUCAGAGUGAAAUAGAACCUGAAACCAUUUGCUUACAAUCAUUCAGAGCACGAUUCUUUAUGACGUGUGAUGGACUGCCUUUUGCAUAAUGAGCCUGCGAGUUGUGGUGUCUGGCAAGGUUAAGGAAACCCGGAGCCGUAGCGAAAGCGAGUCUUAAUAGGGCGUUUAGUCAGAUGCUGCAGACCCGAAACGAUGUGAUCUAUCCAUGAGCAGGUUGAAACCGGUGUAAAAACCGGCGGAGGACCGAACUGGCAAGCGUUGAAAAGCUUUCGGAUGACUUGUGGAUAGGGGUGAAAGGCCAAUCAAACAUCGUGAUAGCUGGUUCUCUCCGAAAUAUAUUGAGGUAUAGCGUUGUGUCGUAACUAUAAGGGGUAGAGCACUGAAUGGGCUAGGGCGUAUACCAAUGUACCAAACCCUAUCAAACUCCGAAUACUUAUAGUGUAAUCACAGCAGUCAGGCGGCGAGUGAUAAAAUCCGUCGUCAAGAGGGGAACAACCCAGACUACCGACUAAGGUCCCCAAAUCUUAUUUAAGUGGAAAACGAUGUGAAGUUACUGAAACAACCAGGAGGUUGGCUUAGAAGCAGCCAUCCUUUAAAGAUAGCGUAAUAGCUCACUGGUCUAGUGAUUUUGCGCGGAAAAUAUAACGGGGCUAAAAUAAGUACCGAAGUCGUAGAUUCGGAAUACAGAUUACAGAAUACAGAUUACAGAGUUUAAAGAAAUAAAACAGAGUGAAUACAAAUAAUAAAAAACUAGAUGUAACUGAUUUAGAAAUUUAUAAAUCAUCUUAUAAUCUUAUGUUAGAAAUUCACAAAUUAACACUAUCUUAUCCAAAGAUAGAACAAUUUGGUGGUAUAGCUGAUCAAUUAAGAAGAUCAAGUAAAAGUAUAACUGCUAAUAUGGUAGAAGGUUAUGCUAAACAUAGAUUCUAUAAAGAUGAGUUUAAAAGAAUGCUAGUUUAUUCAAUAGGAAGUACAGAUGAAACUAUCUUAUGGAUAAGAGUUUCAAAAGAUUUAGGUUACAUUGAUGAAAAAAUAUCUAAUAAAUUAAUAAAAGAGUAUAAAAUCUUAGUUAGAAGAUUAUCUGUAUUUACAAGUAGUAUUAAAUAAUUAACUUUAAAUUCCGUAAUCCGUAUUCUGUCAUCUGUAUUCCGUCUGGUAGGAGAGCGUUGCAUUCAGCGUUGAAGGUGUACCGGUAAGGAGCGCUGGAGCGGAUGCAAGUGAGCAUGCAGGCAUGAGUAGCGAUAAUUAAUGUGAGAAUCAUUAACGCCGUAAACCCAAGGUUUCCUACGCGAUGCUCGUCAUCGUAGGGUUAGUCGGGUCCUAAGCAAAGUCCGAAAGGGGUAUGCGAUGGAAAAUUGGUUAAUAUUCCAAUACCUUUGAUUAUGUGCGAUGGAAGGACGCUUAAAGCUAGUGGGGCUAACUGAUGGAAUAGUUAGUCUAAGGAUGUAGGUUGAGUUAUAGGCAAAUCCGUAACUCUUUAUCUGAAAUCUUAAAGGCUUACAAAACUCUUCGGAGUAGCGUAAGAACCCAUGAUGCUAUAGAGCCAAGAAAAGUUUCUAAGUUUAGUAAUCAAAGCCCGUACCGUAAACCGACACAGGUGGGUGGGAUGAGUAUUCUAAGGCGCGUGGAAGAACUCUCUUUAAGGAACUCUGCAAAAUAGCACCGUAUCUUCGGUAUAAGGUGUGCCUACCAGGGUGUUAAAGCCCUAGAGGUUACAACAAAGAGUCCCUCCCGACUGUUUACCAAAAACACAGCACUCUGCUAACACGUAAGU